UAACAAAAACAUGUCUGUGUGUGUUAGUUACAAAGUCUAGCCUGCCCACUGAUUUAUUUAAAGGGCCGCGGUAAUUUGACCGUGCGAAGGUAGCAUAGUCAGUAGUCUUUUAAUUGAAGGCUUGAAUGAAAGGUUGGACGAGGGAUAAGCUGUCUCCUGUUAUGGGGCUUGAAUUUAACUUUUAAGUGAAAAGGCUUAAAUUAUCUAAAGGGACGAUAAGACCCUAUAAAACUUGAUACGAGCUUAGCUUAAUUUGUGAAUUGUGUGAAAAGUAGUUCUGCUUGGCUUGUAUUUCAUUGGGGAGAUGUAGAUAUAAUCUGUAACUGUCUAUGAAAUUUAAUAAUUAUAAUUAGUAGUUGAUCCUUCUUUGUGGAUUAAAAGAAUAAGUUACUUUAGGGAUAACAGCGUGAUUUUCUUUGAGAGUUCUUAUCGACAAGAGUAGUUGCGACCUCGAUGUUGAAUUAAAAUUUCAGCUAGGUGUAGCCGUUUAGCUGGUAGGUCUGUUCGACCUUUAAAAUUUUACGUGAUCUGAGUUCAGACCGGACGC
Molecule: ribosomal RNA, 547 nt
Filed under: Macrobrachium latidactylus
Lineage: Eukaryota; Metazoa; Arthropoda; Malacostraca; Decapoda; Palaemonidae
Description: partial 16S ribosomal RNA
Rfam family: Bacterial large subunit ribosomal RNA
Source: RNAcentral